AGGCGGAGAUGAUCAGUCUUUCUCCUGGUAUUUACUUCUUUUGUUUAAAUCUUGGAUUACCACAAUGAAUAUCAGGUUAUUCUUGAUAUUUCUGGUAAUGAUGUGCGCCAUGUACCAAGGGCCUGUUGUAUAUCGGGACCUUACGUGCGUGGAGCCUGAGCCAGGAUAUGCCAAACGAUUGUUUUAUUAUUUCACCGCAAGUGAAAUUGAGACAGUCUGUCCAACGGUUACCGAUCUGACAUGGCGAAUCGGAAAUGAGGUAUUCUGCAAUCUGCUGUGUGUGUGCUUCUUACCCUGCUGUUAGGCUAUGCGCCGUCGGUCGGGAAAAUCGUCAAAGAGAAAUGGUCAGCCGCCGUGUCAAUGUUCCAAGGAUGGAGAGCUCGUCCUUCCCCCUGCCGUCACUGCGGUACUGCCCCGUGUCAGGUCAAAAGGAGAUCCUUGUGGAAGCCCACUGGUACUCGUAAGAAAGACAAGGCGAAUUUCGCAAAGAGAUCAAACGCCAUCAUGCUAUUUUACUAUGGACUAGAGUUGUCAGUGGUACUGACCAAAGAGCUGCCAUGGAAUGACCUGUACUGGGAAAGGAAGUUCGUCCAGCAUUUUGAGGAGGAGCAUAUGGUAUUGUUCCCAGUAUGCAUCCAGCGUCAGAUCAACUACUGGUACCCUGUCCCUCGUUAGAUUCGUUGCGCCGUUCUAAAAGGAGAAUAUUUACAUUUGCAUGGCAUUGUCACUAUAUAGCCUCUAUGAAAGCUGUGUCGUUGA
Long non-coding RNA from Mizuhopecten yessoensis (Yesso scallop), 759 nucleotides. RefSeq lists it as uncharacterized. The record is from RefSeq and is a predicted model, not a curated record. NCBI's taxonomy places the organism in Eukaryota, Metazoa, Mollusca, Bivalvia, Pectinida, Pectinidae. The transcript has 5 exons.